This 155-nucleotide ribosomal RNA is filed under the name uncultured bacterium. RNAcentral's name for it is "partial 16S ribosomal RNA". It matches the Rfam family "Bacterial small subunit ribosomal RNA", at positions 355 to 507 of the family's 1533-position model. The record is from RNAcentral.
UAAGGAAUAUUGGUCAAUGGACGCAAGUCUGAACCAGCCAUGCCGCGUGGAGGAUGAAGGUCCUCUGGAUUGUAAACUUCUUUUAUCUGGGAAGAAAUCCACUUUUUCUAAGGUGGUUGACGGUACCAGAUGAAUAAGCACCGGCUAACUCCGUG